Limulus polyphemus (Atlantic horseshoe crab) is the source of this 291-nucleotide long non-coding RNA. RefSeq lists it as uncharacterized. The record is from RefSeq and is a predicted model, not a curated record. The transcript has 3 exons. NCBI's taxonomy places the organism in Eukaryota, Metazoa, Arthropoda, Merostomata, Xiphosura, Limulidae.
GUCAACAUGGCGGAAGCACACAAAGGACGGUUUACAAUCAUAAAUAGAUUGCAAAGUUGGAAAAUGUUGGAGAUGGUCAGAACACACAAGCAAGAGGAAGUAAAUGGAGAGGGAAGGCAAACAAUAUUGUAGCCAAUUGACAAGAAAAGAAAAAGAAGGAUGACCAAGAAAAAAAAUGGAGUGGAAAACUCGGUGAAGAACACAGAACUCCCCAUUAAGUGAAUUGUACCUACGUCCACUCGAAUUCAACUUGUUCAUCGUGAACCCUCGAUAAGCCAUCAAGACUUUAUA